AUUCGCGUCAUUUCUACCUGUUCCAUUCUGCACAUGCGCACUGCUUUCACAUCGCAUGGACUAUUAGGAAAUUAAAUCCGUGUAAAAUUAUUGUUCUUAAAGAGCAGCAGUAGCAACUGAUUAUGUUUUUUUAAUAGUUCAGCGUCAAAUUAUUAAAAACUUUAAAUUUAUCCUGUUGUAAGUGCGCAUGCGUGCGUAAAAUAGCCCAGAGAUUGUCUAUUGUCGUAAAUUGAAGAUGAAUCACUCCCAGCCAAUAAAAAAAAAUGCCUAGUCUGACUCAGCGGUUGUAGGCUGCAGGUAUGAGCCUGAAAUUGAACUUUCUCUUCCCCUUCCGUUUUCUUUGUUACCCUUUUUAAAAAGUCCCUUUUCCAACAACACCACCCUCUCGCUUGUAUAUGCAGGAUAAAUCACCACUUUACUACAUCUCUGAAUAGCACAGCGGCGUUUUUCAGACAUAAACAUGAACAAGAAUAAAAUCAAAUUAAAAAGAACUUCUGCCUCAUACAGCUUUGUUUAAUCAUCAAUAUCAGGACUGGUCUCACACUUAGCUUAUAUAUCAAAUUUGAUUUUAGUGCAGGACCAAAACAGACGUGUGAUAUUUAUACAUGGGUAUAUUUGUCAGAAUUACUUUGUCACUGUUCCCUCUAAACUGCGCGCGUGAGCAACUGCGCACUGCUGACACGGUCUCCGCGCACAGAAAAUCUGCGCUGCGCACAAAAAAAAAAUCCAACCUAAAUUGUAAAUAAAAUAAACACGUAACAAUUCAUUCUGUGCUAUUUUUCAAUGUGAGGCAGUGAGUGACCGGUGACUGGCUGCUGCAGCCAAUGAUGCGAUUCACAUACGCAGAGAUGGGAACUUGGACUUAGACUCGACUCGGACUCGAGUCCCGAUUUUAUGACUUUUUGACUCGACUUGAUGAAAUCAAAAAAAGACUUGGACUUGCUUGGACUCUAAGCUCAGUGACUCUAGACUUGGACUUGACUCGACCCCUUUGACUCGACGAGUCAUGUCGAGUCAUAAUGGUGUAAUUUUUUUCAAUUAAAAGUGUGAUGUAUGAAUCAUUUUUAUUCGUAUCGCUUCACUUCAUCGGAUUACAGGACACCCGCUGUCAGUCACGGGGAGGUUUAUUGCUGUUACACACUGCGACACACCCCCAUUCAGUUGGAAGAACUGAAUGCGGCCUCAGCACGAGUCAACCGAGAAUUAUUUCCUUUGCUUACAAAAAUUACAAAGUGGUUAACAAAAAACAGAUUGCUGAAUGCAGGUUUUGCGAUUCGAAGAUCACGGACGGUCAUGAAACUACUUCCAACUUCAACCGGCACUUGAAGAAACACAAAGAUAAAACUGGUCCUGUGAGAUGCAGUGGAGGCUGACCAACCUGUGUCUCAUGAGGAGGGAGAUGAAUACCUUGAAGAAGAAGGUCUGUUUGCUGCAUACUGUAAGAGACAGAGGAAGGAUGCUAACACCACUCCAGCAUUACAGCUAAGUCACUAUCUCAACUUGUGUGAAGGACAGAGUGUGUUGUCAUUCUGGGCAAUGCACAUGAAGGCUCUUCCUUCACUAUUUCGAGUUGCCAUCAGGGUCUUAGCAGUUCCUGCUACCAGUGCUCCGGUUGAGCGAGUUUUCAGCCAUGGUGGUAUCAUAAUGUGGCCCCAUCGUGCACAAAUGACUGACAGACUUUUGGCCAAUUUGAUCUUUUGCAAAUGCAAUGCUAGUCUGUAGGUGAAUGAAACAUUGAUGUGUAUGCCACCACCACAAACAUUCACACAAUCCAACAGCUAUCAUGGCUCUCUCUCACACAAAUACAUGCAUGCACACACAGAUGCUAUAAUAGCCAGGCUGGCUGUGACAGUCUCAUAUUAGUUCUUCUCUUUCUCUCUCUCACACACAUAACUAAAAAUGCAACAAGUCAACUGCACAUGACAUUUUAAUGUCAGUUCUCUUACACACACACAAACACAGAGGACUUACUUAAGAGCUCUGUGUACCAGAUUAGAACCUAGUCAUUGAUUUAACAUGACAUCACUUUUGGCCUCAAAUUGAUCACAUUCUUUCUGCUGUGUAUUGUUAAAAACAUGUAAGACAACCACUUUAGGAGAACUUUACUUAUAUAUGUACUUAUAUAAUAAAAUAUGGCUUUUCUUGUAUCAAUUAAUCACCCCUGAACACAUCGAGGGCUGUGAGUAAUUGAAAGAAGAAAAGUCAUUUUUAAGGUUAAGUACUGAGGAAUGUUUACAAGGCACACUGAGCUGUAUUUCAAAACUCAAAUCUUGUGUUCAACAGUACAGGGGCAUAUUGCUCAUUCUGAUUUAUGUUGCAAAGUGCCAACUACCUCUUAUGUUCUGAAAGAAUUAUUAGCACUUUUUUGUUUAUCCUUAAAGGACGUUUUUGGUAUUGGCUUCCUGCUGUGCAUACAUUCUACUGUUAAAGUUUACUGUUAAAGGAUCACUUCCCAUUUAAAAUGAAUUUUGUUUUAUCAGUUACUCUCCCCACGAUCAGUUGGACACAAGGAGAAUUUUUGUUUUUGUCACAUUCCUUUAAGGUGAUUCAGGAAAUUCAGAAUGAAUGCAAGUGACAGGGCCUGAUUUUACCCAACGAGAGAGCAGAUCUCAUUCCCUUCCAUCAAUUCCAUUCAUUCUGGAUUUCUUGAAUCACUGAAAACUAAAAUUGUUCUUGUAUUCAACUCACCAUGGGGAGAGUAACUGGUAGAACAAGUCAUUUUCAAGGUAAAGUGGUCCUUUAAAGUUUAAGUUUUACAUUAAAAAAAACAUUACAUUAGAAUUUUUUCAGGUAACCCUGUAUAAAUAAGCUCAAAGACUGUUAUAGCCAACAGAGAAAGUUGUGUGCUGGGCUCUAUUUUUGUGCAGUAUUUUUGUUAAAAUUCAGUGGCACCUUUGGGGGGAAAAAGCCUUGAAAGAAAUAAACAUUUUGAAACUUUAUCCAUAUAUCAUUUUUAUUAUUUAUUAAAGUUCAAGUUAAUGGUUUUCUAUUGUCUCUUGCACAAAAUGACACAACAGAACAGGGACUCUGGAUCCUUUAAGUAUUAAAUCUUCAUUUUAUUUUAUGUAAUUCAAGGUGUGAAAGUGUCUUCAAAUGUCUGGAAGUGUAGGAGUAGGGGGUUACAUUUGUUUCACUUGGUUGUGUUUGACAGACAGAUAUUGUGAAAAUUCCCAAUCUACAAGCUCACAUCUCACAAAGAGUGUAUUGAUAUCUCAGCCAAAAAUUUCCUUAUUGGCACCUCCCCAGCUAUUUAUUUUUUUUAAUGACUUGUUUAGGACUCGAGGAAAAAAGUUUAGGACUUGGACUCGACUCGGGACUCGACUGUCUUGACUUGGGACUCGACUCAGGACUCGACUGUCUUGACACAGGACUCGACUCAGGACUCGACUGUCUUGACAUGGGACUCGACUCAGGACUCGAGUGCAAAGACUUGAGACUCGACUUUGACUUGCAAAAAAAGGCCUUGGUCCCACCUCUGCACAUACGUAUUUACCAUAGACUGUAUAUAAUGGUAUUUAUGCAGCUAAUCAAUGUCAGGCGUCCUUAUGUGCAGCCACCGUUGUUCUCGUAGAUAUGAAUGAGUAGAUAGGACACGCCCCUUUGAGCUGUGUGCUACGGCGAGGCUAAGCUAGUGGGGGCAAAGUUUCAGUACAUUCCGUUGAUGUAGACAGCGUGAAAACGGAAACAGCAAGUAUACCGGUUCACUGUGCUGCAUACAGUUACACACUGCGUCGUACGAUUGAGACAAGGAAACUUGGAAUGACUUUUCAUAGGUAAGAAUAGUUUUUGGCUCUUUUUUCAUUAUGAAAUCUUGUUGAGAGCUUCCAGUCUAUGAGAGCUAACUAGUUAGCCACUAGCAAAACGCUAAGGCGAGCUAGCAGCUUGACAACCAAAUACCAGACGAUUAAUAGUAGCUGUAGUAUAGUUGUACAAGCAGUAGUAGUAAUACUAAAAGUACAAGCAGCAGUAGUAGUAUAAACAGCUGAGUCAUAGAAGUAGUAUCAGCAUUUGUAAUAGUAUUACAAGUUGUAGUAGCAGUGCCAGUAUCAGCAGCAGUAGUGUCCUACCACUACUACUAGUAGUAGUCACAUUGCUAUGACUACCACCAAUACUACCAAUAGUAGUUAUAAAGACUAACUCAUAUAUAUCCAGAUUACCAUCUAUGUUCUUCCUCCAAACCCAUUUUAUGAUUGGGAUUACAGGCAGUUCUUUAGGACUGCUCUCAAAUAAUUGAAAUGUUACUAAACAAGGUUAUACUUAUCAAAUUAAAUAGCUCUGGUCUCCAGUAUGUUGGCGAAUUCGGUUCUUUGUACUUAAUUUAUUAGCAUGAUUUCUUUUUAGUAUGUUGUGUACAGACUUAAUUACUUCUCUGUCUACUUUUCUUACUCCAUGUAGGUUUCCCAGACACUAUGGGUUGAGGAGGAAUUGGAAGUUUGUCGGCUUAGACCUGGUGUCAUUCCAUCAGUGUUAAACUUCCCGGCUCAUCUUGGAAGAGUAUGUGCCAGAAAGACCACGACCAAGCAGCCUUGAGAUCUUAGGCAGCGUCUCCCUGAGGUGGGUGUCGACAGUGUUCACGGUCAGACAUCCACCAACCACUGGAACACAUCUCCAAAGUUCUGCUGGACCAGCUCAGCUUCCCCUCAGAAGAAGUUCCACCACCUGCCAGAUGAAGGAGCCUUUUGAGAGGCAGCUGGCAUCGUGAUUGGACUGUGCUUUGGUCUGUUCCAAUCCAGCUUCAGCUCCAGAGACGGCAGACGGGACGAGUCAACGGAGGCCUGGUGGACGAAGGCAUGCAGCUGAGUACAAUCCAGAAAACAACAGAGGAGGAGUGCAGGACCAGAACAAACAGAUUAACAUCCUAUGCCUCUUAGAAAACAUCAUAGUAGAGCCUUGGUAUGAAAAAAACGCCAUCAUAUACAUCGUAUAUUGUACAAAUAACAAGUCAAAGCAAAGAGACAUACAUUGUCGAAUUGUAGUAAUUGUGGGCUGACUGAUUUACUGAUUAUCAGUAUUUUAUUUUUUACUGAUUUAUGGUAAUAAAUACAUUUAAAAAUGGCGCUACUUUGGCUCUGAACCUUUAUCUACCUGUGGUCGCUCUGUCUUCUGGAGUGAUUUGAUUGGUUAUACGUCACAAAUAAAACUCCUUUAACUUAACAUCUGUAAACAAAACAAAAACGUAUCAACAAAGUUUUCUGUUAGAGUUUGUGUUCUUCUAAGUUUAACUCCAAGAUUUUAAAUACUUUCAUUUACUGCAAAUGAAUAUCGACUCCAAAUGUCUCACUAAUAAUCAUUAUCAGCCUUAAAAACCCACAAAACACCCCUCUAUACUCAACCACACUUAGUACAGUCCGGUUCCCCCUUCUAUAAAUCUGCUUGGAAUCUUCCACUUCCUGUUUGUCAAAGUGGCCUUCUACCUGGACAGGUUUUGUUGGAGCUCAUGCAACAAACAUUUUGGGUAACUGCACUUUAAUAUGGAUGGAUGACACUGAAUUAGAGUCUGUUUUAAUGAGACUGAGUUAAGAUAUGUAGCUCUGUCAUUAAAUAGUAAAUUAUUUCUCAGAAUUCACAGAGAAAAGUCUGAAAUGUUUGCUAGGUUAGCGUCCCACAUGUUCUUUGGCUCAGCUAAAGCUAACUUUCUCCAACUUCUGGAUCUCUUGAGUUGCUUGUUGUUAAAAUAUCUUGCUAGAGGUGCUGAAGCUCAGAAAGUCAGAUGUUUGUUCAAAAUAAGCUCAUUCUCAAGUCUGAUCUGAACUGUCCUCUUUUGUUUGAACUUUCCCUAAACUUAGGAGUUAAUGACAGAGCAGCACAUCCAGACUCAGUUUCAUUUAUGUAGCGAUUAAACUUCAGUGUAAUUCAUUGAUGUUGAAGUGCAGUUUUUCAAAUGUUUGUUGCACAUGCUCCUGACCAAACCAGUCCAGGUGGAAGAUGAUGUGAAGAAAAAGCUCCAGAGGAUGAAUAUCACACAUUUACGUUGGAAAUUAAUGUCCUUUGAUUAGACAUUGUCAUGCAAAAGUUGGAUUUCCCUUUAAUGAUGUUGAAAUCUUUGAGUGUUUUGUUGAUGUUGGUUUCUAAAUGUUUUCUGACACUCGGCCCCAAAAAUUAAAACCUUCUACGACUCACAAGCUGCAACAAUUCACACAUUAUCAACUAUCUUUCUGACAAAACUAAGAUAAAAAGUGAAAAACUGCCUGAUUCCUGCAUCAUGAAUGUAAAUCUUUUUGGUUUUUAUGACAGUAAACUGAAUAUAUUUGGGUUUGACAUUUUAUAAACCACAACAAGAAAUGAAUUACUGGAGAAAACAAUCAACAGAUUAAUGGAAAAAGAAAAUGUGUUUUCCAACAUAUAUGGCUGAAUUACUCCAACAUUACAAGAUACAUACAAUUUUAAUUCAAUUUUAUUUAUAUAACGCCAAUUACAGGUCAAAUUGUUUCAAGACACUUUGUUUUUAUAUUUUUUGUCACAAAUAGAGUUUAACAUUAAAUACAAUUAAAUUAUAUUAAACAGACAAAAUAUUGAAUUAGAUAAUUCAACAAGGUACAACACAUGUCAUUAUGAAAUUAAACAAAAUUGUAAAAAUACAAAUAUUAAAAAUUACAGAUAAAAUAUUUUCG
Amphiprion ocellaris (clown anemonefish) is the source of this 6611-nucleotide RNA transcript. RefSeq lists it as uncharacterized. The record is from RefSeq and is a predicted model, not a curated record. The transcript is spliced from 3 exons. NCBI's taxonomy places the organism in Eukaryota, Metazoa, Chordata, Actinopteri, Pomacentridae.